GAUGAACGCUGGCGGCGUGCUUAACACAUGCCAGUCGAGCGAACAGACGAGAAGCUUGCUGCUCUGUCGUUAGCGGCGCACGUGUGAGUAACACGUGGAUAACCUACCUAUAAGACUGGGAUAACUGCGGGAAACCGGCUCUAAUACCGGAUAAUAUAUUGAACCGCAUGGUUCAGUAGUGAAAGACGCUUUUGAUGUCACUUAUAGAUGCUUCCGCGCCGUAUUUGCUAUUUGGUAAGGUAACGGCUUACCAAGGCAACGAUGCGUAGCCGACCUGGGAGAGUGAUCGGCCACACUGGAACGGAGACACGGUCAAGGCUACUACGGGAGGGAGCAGUAGGGAAUCGGCCGCAAUGGGCGAGAACCUGACAGAGCGACGCCGCGUGUGUGGUGAAGAUCUUGCGAUCGGGAUGCUCUGUUACUAGGUAUAAACCUCUGUCUACGUGGAUAUGCCCGACGUGACGGUACCUGCAGAGAAAGCCCCGGCUAACUACGUG
This 497-nucleotide ribosomal RNA is filed under the name uncultured bacterium. RNAcentral's name for it is "partial 16S ribosomal RNA". It matches the Rfam family "Bacterial small subunit ribosomal RNA", at positions 28 to 507 of the family's 1533-position model. The record is from RNAcentral.